RNAcentral lists this ribosomal RNA (440 nucleotides) under uncultured bacterium. RNAcentral describes it as "bacterial SSU rRNA". It matches the Rfam family "Bacterial small subunit ribosomal RNA", at positions 28 to 450 of the family's 1533-position model. The record is from RNAcentral.
GAUGAACGCUGGCGGCGUGCUUAACACAUGCAAGUCGAACGAAGCACUUAAGAAUGAUUCUUCGGAUGAAUUUUUUUGUGACUUAGUGGCGGACGGGUGAGUAACGCGUGGGUAACCUGCCUCACACAGGGGGAUAACAGUUGGAAACGACCGCUAAUACCGCAUAACCCGCUAGGGCCGCAUGGCCCGGACGGAAAAGAUUUAUCGGUGUGAGAUGGACCCGCGUUGGAUUAGCUAGUUGGCAGGGUAACGGCCUACCAAGGCGACGAUCCAUAGCCGGCCUGAGAGGGUGAACGGCCACAUUGGGACUGAGACACGGCCCAAACUCCUACGGGAGGCAGCAGUGGGGAAUAUUGCACAAUGGGGGAAACCCUGAUGCAGCGACGCCGCGUGAGUGAAGAAGUAUUUCGGUAUGUAAAGCUCUAUCAGCAGGGAAGAAA